CACGCCGUAAACGUUGGGCACUAGGUGUGGGGUCUAUUCAACGGACUCCGUGCCGUCGCUAACGCAUUAAGUGCCCCGCCUGGGGAGUACGGCCGCAAGGCUAAAACUCAAAGGAAUUGA
RNAcentral lists this ribosomal RNA (120 nucleotides) under uncultured bacterium. RNAcentral's name for it is "partial 16S ribosomal RNA". It matches the Rfam family "Bacterial small subunit ribosomal RNA", at positions 796 to 913 of the family's 1533-position model. The record is from RNAcentral.